This 415-nucleotide long non-coding RNA is filed under the name Populus trichocarpa (black cottonwood). RNAcentral describes it as "long non-coding RNA (PTRI_LNC003041)". Lineage: Eukaryota; Viridiplantae; Streptophyta; Magnoliopsida; Malpighiales; Salicaceae. The record is from RNAcentral.
GAAGAAAAAAACACCCUCAAGCCCUUUUGCCCCCUCGAGUCCCAUCCAUGCAUGUAAAACCCUGACAAAUCCCUAUACCAUCUGGGGCAAAAGGGCUUCAAACAAAUAAAUCAAAAGGCGAAGAAAAGAAAAGAAAACAAAGAUGCAUCAAUCUCACAUUUAGAAAAGGAGCUGCCCAAAUGCAAGAGCAACGAGAGAAGCAAGAACAGCCGGCACAAAAGUGGUGGCAUCGGAGGUAGGGCUAGGUGCUGGGGCCUCCGCUGCUGCUACAUUUUGGACGGCUGAAACAGCCAUGAGCACAACCACGAUAGCCAAAAACACUCUCAUCUUCAAUGCCUCCAUUGUGAAAAACUUUCUUGCUGGAAAAAACAGAGGCGUGGAGGGAGAAGAGAAAAUGCAAGAUUUCAGACAACGG